RNAcentral lists this ribosomal RNA (804 nucleotides) under Microbacterium sp. S30. RNAcentral describes it as "bacterial SSU rRNA". It matches the Rfam family "Bacterial small subunit ribosomal RNA", at positions 618 to 1418 of the family's 1533-position model. The record is from RNAcentral. Lineage: Bacteria; Bacillati; Actinomycetota; Actinomycetes; Micrococcales; Microbacteriaceae.
GCCCUGCAGUGGGUACGGGCAGACUAGAGUGCGGUAGGGGAGAUUGGAAUUCCCUGGUGUAGCGGUGGAAUGCGCAGAUAUCAGGAGGAACACCGAUGGCGAAGGCAGAUCUCUGGGCCGUAACUGACGCUGAGGAGCGAAAGGGUGGGGAGCAAACAGGCUUAGAUACCCUGGUAGUCCACCCCGUAAACGUUGGGAACUAGUUGUGGGGACCAUUCCACGGUUUCCGUGACGCAGCUAACGCAUUAAGUUCCCCGCCUGGGGAGUACGGCCGCAAGGCUAAAACUCAAAGGAAUUGACGGGGACCCGCACAAGCGGCGGAGCAUGCGGAUUAAUUCGAUGCAACGCGAAGAACCUUACCAAGGCUUGACAUAUACGAGAACGGGCCAGAAAUGGUCAACUCUUUGGACACUCGUAAACAGGUGGUGCAUGGUUGUCGUCAGCUCGUGUCGUGAGAUGUUGGGUUAAGUCCCGCAACGAGCGCAACCCUCGUUCUAUGUUGCCAGCACGUAAUGGUGGGAACUCAUGGGAUACUGCCGGGGUCAACUCGGAGGAAGGUGGGGAUGACGUCAAAUCAUCAUGCCCCUUAUGUCUUGGGCUUCACGCAUGCUACAAUGGCCGGUACAAAGGGCUGCAAUACCGUGAGGUGGAGCGAAUCCCAAAAAGCCGGUCCCAGUUCGGAUUGAGGUCUGCAACUCGACCUCAUGAAGUCGGAGUCGCUAGUAAUCGCAGAUCAGCAACGCUGCGGUGAAUACGUUCCCGGGUCUUGUACACACCGCCCGUCAAGUCAUGAAAGUCGGUAAC